This 222-nucleotide ribosomal RNA is filed under the name Triticum aestivum (bread wheat). Its description in RNAcentral is "partial small subunit ribosomal RNA". Lineage: Eukaryota; Viridiplantae; Streptophyta; Magnoliopsida; Poales; Poaceae. The record is from RNAcentral.
AUGUCGGCGCUAGUACCCUGGUACAUCUUGGCGAUGAUGGGGUUGCACAGGGCCUCCAGCUCCUUCAUCUUGUCCUCAAACUCAUCCGCCUCAGCGAGCUGGUUCAUGUCCAGCCACUGGAUGGCAGCGUCAAUGUCCUCCUCGAUCUUCUUCUUGUCAUCCGCCGGCAGCUUGGAGGCGAUCUUAUCGUCCUUGAUGGUGUUGCGCAUGUUGUACGAGUAG